GAAACUUAUAGGCUUAUUCUUGUCCUGCUAAGUCAUAGAAUCUGUGGUUCGACCCCAUAGAAGUUUCG
RNAcentral lists this transfer RNA (68 nucleotides) under Linckia laevigata. RNAcentral's name for it is "tRNA-Ser". The record is from RNAcentral. Lineage: Eukaryota; Metazoa; Echinodermata; Asteroidea; Valvatida; Ophidiasteridae.